Molecule: ribosomal RNA, 253 nt
Filed under: uncultured bacterium
Lineage: Bacteria
Description: partial 16S ribosomal RNA
Rfam family: Bacterial small subunit ribosomal RNA
Source: RNAcentral
UACAGAGGUCCCAAGCGUUGUUCGGAUUCACUGGGCGUAAAGGGUGCGUAGGCGGUCGGGUAAGUCUGACGUGAAAUCUCCAAGCUUAACUUGGAAAUGGCGUCGGAUACUAUUCGGCUUGAGGAAUGGAGGGGAGACUGGAAUUCUCGGUGUAGCAGUGAAAUGCGUAGAUAUCGAGAGGAACACCAGUGGCGAAGGCGAGUCUCUGGACAUUUCCUGACGCUGAGGCACGAAAGCCAGGGGAGCAAACGGG